RNAcentral lists this ribosomal RNA (406 nucleotides) under uncultured bacterium. Its description in RNAcentral is "partial 16S ribosomal RNA". It matches the Rfam family "Bacterial small subunit ribosomal RNA", at positions 30 to 526 of the family's 1533-position model. The record is from RNAcentral.
AUUGAACGCUGGCGGCAGGCUUAACACAUGCAAGUCGAGCGAGCGGCGGACGGGUGAGUAAUGUCUGGGAAACUGACUGAUGGAGGGGGAUACCUACUGGAAACGGUAGCUAAUACCGCAUACCAUCGGAUGUGCCCAGAUGGGAUUAGCUAGUAGGUGGGGUAAUGGCUAACAUAGGCGACACUCCCUAGCUGGUCUGAGAGGAUGACCAGCAACACUGGAACUGAGACACGGUCCAAACUCCUACGGUAGGCAGCAGUGGGGAAUAUUGCACAAUGGGCGCAAGCCUGAUGCAGCCAUGCCGCGUGUGUGAAGAAGGCCUUCGGGUUGUAAAGCACUGUCAGCGGGGAGGCGUUACUCGCAGAAGAAGCACCGGCUAACUCCGUGCCAGCAGCCGCGGUAAUAC